AACGAACGCUGGCGGCAGGCUUAACACAUGCAAGUCGAACGCCCCGCAAGGGAAGUGGCAGACGGGUGAGUAACGCGUGGGAAUCUACCCAGUUCUACGGAACAACUGAGGGAAACUUCAGCUAAUACCGUAUACGCCUACGGGGAAGAUUAUCGGAAUUGGAUGAGCCCGCGUUGGAUUAGCUAGUUGGUGAGGUAACGGCUCACCAAGGCGACGAUCCAUAGCUGGUCUGAGAGGAUGAUCAGCCACACUGGGACUGAGACACGGCCCAGACUCCUACGGGAGGCAGCAGUGGGGAAUCUUGCGCAAUGGGGGCAACCCUGACGCAGCCAUGCCGCGUGAAUGAUGAAGGCCUUAGGGUUGUAAAGUUCUUUUGCCCGUGACGAUGAUGACGGUAACGGGAGAAUAAGCUCCGGCUAACUUCGUG
Molecule: ribosomal RNA, 427 nt
Filed under: uncultured bacterium
Lineage: Bacteria
Description: bacterial SSU rRNA
Rfam family: Bacterial small subunit ribosomal RNA
Source: RNAcentral